AGCCUGAUGCAGCGACGCCGCGUGGGGGAUGACGGCCUUCGGGUUGUAAACCUCUUUCAGUAGGGACGAAGCGCAAGUGACGGUACCUACAGAAGAAGGACCGGCCAACUACGUGCCAGCAGCCGCGGUAAUACGUAGGGUCCGAGCGUUGUCCGGAAUUACUGGGCGUAAAGAGCUCGUAGGUGGUUUGUCGCGUUGUUCGUGAAAACCGGGGGCUUAACCCUCGGCGUGCGGGCGAUACGGGCAGACUGGAGUACUGCAGGGGAGACUGGAAUUCCUGGUGUAGCGGUGGAAUGCGCAGAUAUCAGGAGGAACACCGGUGGCGAAGGCGGGUCUCUGGGCAGUAACUGACGCUGAGGAGCGAAAGCGUGGGGAGCGAACAGGAUUAGAUACCCUGGUAGUCCACGCCGUAAACGGUGGGUACUAGGUGUGGGUUUCCUUCCUUGGGAUCCGUGCCGUAGCUAACGCAUUAAGUACCCCGCCUGGGGAGUACGGCCGCAAGGCUAAAACUCAAA
This 515-nucleotide ribosomal RNA is filed under the name Mycolicibacterium litorale. RNAcentral's name for it is "bacterial SSU rRNA". It matches the Rfam family "Bacterial small subunit ribosomal RNA", at positions 380 to 905 of the family's 1533-position model. The record is from RNAcentral. Lineage: Bacteria; Bacillati; Actinomycetota; Actinomycetes; Mycobacteriales; Mycobacteriaceae.